RNAcentral lists this ribosomal RNA (460 nucleotides) under uncultured bacterium. RNAcentral describes it as "partial 16S ribosomal RNA". It matches the Rfam family "Bacterial small subunit ribosomal RNA", at positions 338 to 795 of the family's 1533-position model. The record is from RNAcentral.
CCUACGGGAGGCAGCAGUGAGGAAUAUUGGUCAAUGGACGAGAGUCUGAACCAGCCAAGUAGCGUGAAGGAUGACUGCCCUAUGGGUUGUAAACUUCUUUUAUAAAGGAAUAAAACGAGCCACGUGUGGCUUUUUGUAUGUACCCUAUGAAUAAGGAUCGGCUAACUCCGUGCCAGCAGCCGCGGUAAUACGGAGGAUCCGAGCGUUAUCCGGAUUUAUUGGGUUUAAAGGGAGCGUAGGUGGGUUGUUAAGUCAGUUGUGAAAGUUUGCGGCUCAACCGUAAAAUUGCAGUUGAAACUGGCAGUCUUGAGUACAGUAGAGGUAGGCGGAAUGCGUGGUGUAGCGGUGAAAUGCUUAGAUAUCACGAAGAACCCCGAUUGCGAAGGCAGCUUACUGGACUGCAACUGACACUGAGGCUCGAAAGUGUGGGUAUCAAACAGGAUUAGAUACCCUAGUAGUC